CGGGUGUGACGUCGGCGGGGACUCAUUCAUGCGGGGAAGCGGAAGUGUAGAGUGACUCAGCAAAGGUGAUUCAGGUAUAUGUGGUGGCGGCGCUCCGUUGAUUUCGAGAGGUGGGCGAGCGUGUGGACCUGGUGAAUGAAGUGAUUCUUAGGUUGCCACGGACAACUGGCUAUUUUGAAAUCUCGUAUGAAAAGCGACUUCCAGCGUGGAGACUGGAGUUUGGAAGUUUUGUUGUGUCUGGUGUGCCCGCCUGCUAGAAAGCGCAAGCAUUUGAGCGGGUGAUCCCUCUCCUUGAAGGAGCAGAGACAUCUAGGGUGGCUUUCUAAUAAUGGAAUUCCCGGACCUGGGUAAACACUGCUCUGAGAAGACUUGUAAGCAGCUGGACUUUCUGCCCCUGAAAUGCAACGCUUGUGAAGAAGUCUUCUGCAAAAACCACAUUGCCUAUAACCGGCACAAAUGUGCUUUUGCCUACACAAAGGACGUGCAGGUUCCCAUCUGUCCCCUCUGUAAUUCUCCCAUCCCAGUAAGAAAAGGGGAGUCUCCGGAUGCAGUUGUUGGAGUCCAUAUGGACCGAGACUGUAAACGUGAUUCGGUGUUGCAGAAACCAAAGAUCUUCGUGAACAGGUGCUUCCAGCCGGGAUGCAAGAAGAAGGAGAUGAUGCAGCUGGUUUGCGACCAGUGUCACCAGAACUUCUGUCUCCAGCAUCGCCACCCUCUGGAUCAUGUGUGCCAGGGACAGGGCCGGCCCAUGUCCAAAGCAGGGUGAGGCUGUGGGUGUGAGAAGCCGCCGUCGCCUCUGGGCUCAAGCUGCUGAGUGCAGGCAGCAUUGCCUGCUCUGGAGUCACAUGAAAGGGAGUUCUGAAAGCCAGGACUAACUUCACAGCAGCUCUAGCGAGACCGUCUUCAAGUACAGCUUGCUUGGCUUGAUGCCCUUGCUUCCUUUUGCAAGCCAAUUCAAUCACUGGCUCGUCUCCUUGCUGCUAAAUAUCGUAUAUCUCAGAUGUCCGCCAGGUUUAGCAUGCUAAUGGUUGGGGGAAACUGUGGAUAAAUUGUGGAUGUGUGCCUGGCUGGAGCAGGGAAACCUGAGCCGCAUUCGUUACGGAUGGCAGGGAAGCUUGAUGGUGUUCAGUCCUAAUAUCCUGCCUGUAUAGCUUUGUGCUUCCCAGGACAGAAGCUUAUAACGAAAUGCUGCUUACACGUGUGCAGUUCUUGGGAUGAACCUGUGAGCAGGGCCGGUUCCUUGGCAGAGUUUGAGCCAGGAUCUGUGCCGUGAAGCUUCAGGAAUGACUGCAGGGGUAACGCUGCUCAAAUGAAAAUGGCAAAGCUGGAGGGAAAGGUGGCGUGUGCUGAACUUGGCUGCUUCCUUGCAGAUGUGCGGCUCUGAUGAGAUCUCUGGACUCCAACAAGAUGAUGCUGAGCAACCCACUGCUGCAGGGCAGGGGCAAAGUAAAAAGCUGACAUCCUCUGGUCUGGAUCCUAAACUACACCAGUCUGUUCUGUCUAUCAAUAUUCUGUUCUUUAAAACUUUUGCAUCUUUUCUACAUAUUUGUACAUAAAUGCCUUAAUAAAACUGACUUCUGUAA
Varanus komodoensis (Komodo dragon) is the source of this 1583-nucleotide RNA transcript. It is a transcript of the gene named zinc finger AN1-type containing 2A, with no coding region annotated. Lineage: Eukaryota; Metazoa; Chordata; Lepidosauria; Squamata; Varanidae. The record is from RefSeq and is a predicted model, not a curated record. The transcript has 6 exons.